This is a non-coding RNA of Cinara cedri, 423 nucleotides long. Lineage: Eukaryota; Metazoa; Arthropoda; Insecta; Hemiptera; Aphididae. The record is from the annotation of a GenBank genome assembly.
AAUAACGAAAAAAAAAAAAAAAAAAAGUAACAACCGUAGAAUCGCGUUAAACUAUAUGAAACAUACAAUUUUGGCCCUCGCCAACCGCCCUCCCACCGUCCACCGGCUCGUGCUCCGGAAUCGGCCAUAUUAUCCUUCAACGAUUAUGUAAACGCGUCGACGGUCGCACGAAAACCGUAAAGAGUAUUUUAGAUUUCACAUUGUAUUCAAUUUCAGUUUCAGUUUGAUUUUAUUUUCCUUCUUCGUCGAUCUACUAAUUUAGCAUAACGACAUUGCAAUAUUAUUACCCAUACCGUAUACCUGUACGUCAAUGACUAUGUUGUGUGUAAUGUUUUUUUGUUUUUGCUCCUCCGCAGAUCUGAUACUGUAUUUGUUGAAUCUCAUCGUCGAUAAUAUACAUAACCGUUAUUAACAAAACAAUAA